Molecule: ribosomal RNA, 253 nt
Filed under: uncultured bacterium
Lineage: Bacteria
Description: partial 16S ribosomal RNA
Rfam family: Bacterial small subunit ribosomal RNA
Source: RNAcentral
GACAGAGGGGGCAAGCGUUGCUCGGAAUCACCGGGCGUAAAGGGCGCGUAGGCGGGAUGGCAAGUCGGUCGUGAAAUCCUUCGGCUCAACCGAAGAACGUCGGCCGAUACUGCCGUUCUUGAGGGAUGCAGAGGAGAUUGGAAUUCCCGGUGUAGCGGUGAAAUGUGUAGAGAUCGGGAGGAACACCGGUGGCGAAGGCGGGUCUCUGGGCAUCUCCUGACGCUGAGGCGCGAAAGCGUGGGGAGCAAACGGG